AUGACAGGAACAGCUUUCCUCUACUCAGGCCCAUCUACCAUGCAACUGUUUUUGCCUCAGAGCUGCCCACCAUAGGCUACAGUUUCUGAACUUAAAAGUACAUUUAUUGUCUGAGAAGAGGCGUCACAAGUUGGCGUUAGUAAAAUUUCCAUCAUCUAUGGGGUGACUUUCUGUUUAUACAGUCUCAAAAUUUCAUUUUAUGAAGCUAUCAAAAAAUAAUACAUUUUGUAGCAACAAAUCCCCAUAAACUGCAUUUCAGAGUGAUGCAACAAGAAUGCCGAUAUCAAGGAAAAGAACACCGAUACCAUGGUUUAUUGUGAGAUAUAUAACUACAGCAACCAAAUGGGGUAGGGAAGCAUUACCAGUGUACCUCCUCUCAACCACAAUUAGAGCAUCAGUUGCUGGGGGAUAUUGAAAUGAGAAGCACUGGAGGAACUGGAAGUGCAGUGGCCUGAAGAUAAAAUCAGUUCACAAGUUCAAAUGAGAGUGGCGACGGUCUGUCCAGUGGGUAGGAAUGGGAGCUACUCGAAAUUCCCAAAUCCUUCAGUGGAGAUGACAGUUGUACUUCUACAGCUCUGUUUUUAAAACAUUCUUCCAUGACAGAUGUGGAGACUAGGUGCUGAAACUUCUGGUAAAGCUGAGAAUAGAAAAGUUCUGAGAUGUCAUAAAUUUACUGACAAAGGCUGGAAGGUGGAAAAGAGAAAUGGGGGAAAUCAACCAGCUGACAGCUAUGGGCUGAAGAACACAAAACACUUUUUCACAUUUUUAAAGAAGACCUGAAACCUGAACUCAAAUUCCAUCAUGACCACUGGGCACCAUCACAUCCUCCGACAGCCCCAGACAGUCCAGAAGCCAUCAUUAUUUCUGUCUGUGAACUGUUUUCCUAACCCAAAGCUUUCCUUGCUCUGCAUUAUCCUAGCUCUUUCAUCCAUGACCAAUGUAAGAUCAAUGUACACAAUUUUUUGUUAUAAAAACACACUGCCCUCUACCCUGCUAUUAGUACUUGUAGGAACAUAUCUCAACUUCCUGCUGAGAAGUCUUUGUUUUCAACUCCCCACCCCCAAGGUAGUGGGUUAUAAGAGCCUUACUUGACAAGACAAUGCUCAGCAUUGGCUGUUCUCUACCCUCUGUCUUCUCAUCUUCCACCUAGUCCUUCCUCCUCUAGUAAAACUACCAGCAACAACUUAAGCCACACGAUGACAUCAUCUAUGUUUCUGGCUUCCACAAUGCAAGCAGCUCAUGAAUAAGUGAAAAUUCACUCACCUUUAAGUUAAAACAAUUGUUGCUUUCUGUAAGUCACACAAAAGAAUACAAACUGCACCAAGAUCAUAACUUUCAGCAAUCUGUUUAUUUUAUCCUCCAAUGAAAAAUUUCAGUAGUCAUAGAAACAUGGUUCUGAGCAAUC
Molecule: long non-coding RNA, 1405 nt
Organism: Chinchilla lanigera (long-tailed chinchilla)
Lineage: Eukaryota; Metazoa; Chordata; Mammalia; Rodentia; Chinchillidae
Exons: 3
Source: RefSeq, a predicted model, not a curated record